AUUCAUAUAGUUUAAUUAAAACACUACAUUUUCAAUGUAAAGAUAAUAUAUAAUAUUUAUGAAUA
Molecule: transfer RNA, 65 nt
Filed under: Myrmeleomastax wideis
Lineage: Eukaryota; Metazoa; Arthropoda; Insecta; Orthoptera; Eumastacidae
Description: tRNA-Glu
Rfam family: tRNA
About the family: Transfer RNA (tRNA) molecules are approximately 80 nucleotides in length. Their secondary structure includes four short double-helical elements and three loops (D, anti-codon, and T loops).
Source: RNAcentral